This 861-nucleotide ribosomal RNA is filed under the name Kirschsteiniothelia aethiops. RNAcentral describes it as "partial 12S small subunit ribosomal RNA". It matches the Rfam family "Bacterial small subunit ribosomal RNA", at positions 364 to 1209 of the family's 1533-position model. Lineage: Eukaryota; Fungi; Ascomycota; Dothideomycetes; Kirschsteiniotheliales; Kirschsteiniotheliaceae. The record is from RNAcentral.
UUGGUCAAUAGCCUAACGGCUGAACCAGCAACUUGGAGGAACGAAGUUUUUUUAGAUAGAAAAAUUAGCUUCUUUGUGAUUUUUCUAGUUUUUUUUUAAAAUAAAUAUAACAACAAGUUUGUAUAAAGUUCUAGCUAGAUCAUUGAUUAUGACAAUUUUCUAUCUAUAUAGUCUUGACUAAUUCUUGUGCCAGCAGUCGCGGUAAUACAGGUUAGACCGUGUUAGUAAUCGGAAAUAGGUUUAAAGGGUACCUAGACGGUAAUUUUAGCACCCCUCUUGGAGGGGAUACUUUUUUACUUGAGUUUUAUGUGUGAGGUAGAUUUAGAAUUACUGGUGUAGAGAUGAAAUUCUUUAAUAUCAUUAAAACUGGUAAGGGUGAAAGCAAUCCUUUAUGUAAAAACUGACGUUGAGGGACGAAGGCUUGGGGAGCGAAAAGGAUUAGAUACCCCUGUAGUCCAGGCAGAAAAUUAUGAGUGUCAUAUGCUAGCUGGUCUGCCUAGUGUAUAAAUGAAAGUGUAAGCACUCCACCUCAAGAGUAAUGUGGCAACGCAGGAACUGAAAUCAUUAGACCGUGUCUGAAAACAUACGUGAAGUCUGCUGUUUAAUUCGAUGAUCCACGAAAAAUCUUACCACAAUUUGUAUGUGAUUAUAAAAAAAUAAUAUUAACUUUAUUUUUUUUAGUUAUACAAGCGUUGCACGGCUGUCUAUAGUUAAUGUUGUGAGGUUUGACUAAGUUCAUUUAUUUAGCGAAAUCCCUAGCUUUAUUUUUUAAUUUAAUAUAUUUUUAUAGAGCUGUUCCUUUCCACUAAUACGGUUUGAGAUAAUAGGGAGUAAGACAAGUUGUCAUGGCCUUAAUUAUUG